GAUGAAGAACGUAGUGAAAUGCGAUAAGUAAUGUGAAUUGCAGAAUUCAGUGAAUCAUCGAAUCUUUGAACGCACAUUGCGCCCCUUGGUAUUCCGGGGGGCAUGCCUCUUCCAGCGUCAUUUCACCACUCAAGCCUCGCUUGGUAUUGGGCAACGCGGUCCGCCGCGUGCCUCAAAUCGACCGGCUGGGUCUUCUGUCCCCUAAGCGUUGUGGAAACUAUUCGCUAAAGGGUGUUCGGGAGGCUACGCCGUAAAACAACCCCAUUUCUAAGGUUGACCUCGGAUCAGGUAGGGAUACCCGCUGAACUUAAGCAUAUCAAUAAGCGGAGGA
RNAcentral lists this unclassified non-coding RNA (331 nucleotides) under soil metagenome. RNAcentral describes it as "partial contains 5.8S ribosomal RNA, internal transcribed spacer 2, and large subunit ribosomal RNA". The stretch from base 1 to 120 matches the Rfam family "5.8S ribosomal RNA", at positions 35 to 154 of the family's 154-position model. The record is from RNAcentral.